This 165-nucleotide ribosomal RNA is filed under the name Rhynchanthus beesianus. RNAcentral describes it as "5.8S ribosomal RNA". It matches the Rfam family "5.8S ribosomal RNA". From Rfam's summary of the family: 5.8S ribosomal RNA (5.8S rRNA) is a component of the large subunit of the eukaryotic ribosome. It is transcribed by RNA polymerase I as part of the 45S precursor that also contains 18S and 28S rRNA. Functionally, it is thought that 5.8S rRNA may be involved in ribosome translocation. Lineage: Eukaryota; Viridiplantae; Streptophyta; Magnoliopsida; Zingiberales; Zingiberaceae. The record is from RNAcentral.
CAAAUGACUYUCGGCAAUGGAUAUCUCGGCUCUUGCAUCGAUGAAGAACGUAGUGAAAUGCGAUACUUGGUGUGAAUUGCAGAAUCUCGUGAACCAUUGAGUCUUUGAACGCAAGUUGUGCCUGAGGCCUUGUGGUCGAGGGCACGCCUGCUUGGGCGUCAUGGC